UGUGAAGCAGAAUUCACCAAGU
This 22-nucleotide small nuclear RNA is filed under the name Arabidopsis thaliana (thale cress). RNAcentral's name for it is "snRNA_01265". Lineage: Eukaryota; Viridiplantae; Streptophyta; Magnoliopsida; Brassicales; Brassicaceae. The record is from RNAcentral.